UUGGUCAAGCGGUUAAGACACCGCCCUUUCACGGCGGUAACACGGGUUCGAAUCCCGUACGGGUCA
This 66-nucleotide transfer RNA is filed under the name Listeria monocytogenes. Its description in RNAcentral is "tRNA-Glu". It matches the Rfam family "tRNA". From Rfam's summary of the family: Transfer RNA (tRNA) molecules are approximately 80 nucleotides in length. Their secondary structure includes four short double-helical elements and three loops (D, anti-codon, and T loops). Further hydrogen bonds mediate the characteristic L-shaped molecular structure. tRNAs have two regions of fundamental functional importance: the anti-codon, which is responsible for specific mRNA codon recognition, and the 3' end, to which the tRNAs corresponding amino acid is attached (by aminoacyl-tRNA synthetases). tRNAs cope with the degeneracy of the genetic code in two manners: having more than one tRNA (with a specific anti-codon) for a particular amino acid; and 'wobble' base-pairing, i.e. permitting non-standard base-pairing at the 3rd anti-codon position. The record is from RNAcentral. Lineage: Bacteria; Bacillati; Bacillota; Bacilli; Caryophanales; Listeriaceae.